This 683-nucleotide long non-coding RNA is filed under the name Helianthus annuus (common sunflower). Its description in RNAcentral is "sRNA HanXRQr2_Chr12g0552351". Lineage: Eukaryota; Viridiplantae; Streptophyta; Magnoliopsida; Asterales; Asteraceae. The record is from RNAcentral.
UGUGUGUGUGAGCUACCAGAGAAAGAAAAGAACGGGGGAAAACACCAAAAACCCUCAUUCACUAAAUUGAUCAAAUUGGAGGAUGGAUUGAGUCCAAAUCAUAUGCAUGAACUUGAAAUUCUGAUUAUCUAAACCUAAUAAACACAAGGAAACACAAGUGAAGCAUCGGGACGUCAAGCUUGACUAGACGCGCGAUUGAAAGAAAAGUUAUAAGGUGCUUAGAUGUAAACGGGUCGAAUAAUUGAACGCACAAUCCGAGAACCGAUAGCGUAAAGCGUAAGAGUUAUAUCAGUGGCGACGGAGAUCUGUGGUGGGUCGUCGGAUCUGUGGCGGGUCGUCGGAUCUGUGGCGAUGGGGUUCUGUGGUGGUCCUCAGAUCUGUGGUGGGUCGUCGGAUCUGUGGCGGUGGGGUUCUGUGGUGGUCCUCCGAGCUAUGAGUGUCGUGACAAGUUCAUUCAUGUGAGAUUGAACGGUCAUAACCUGACUGAACUCGUCUUUAACGUGUUGUAUCAGAACUGAAAUUGCUCUGUUUAUGAGAAUUUUGACAAACACUUCCGCCAUUAAUGCUUAUUAUCAAGCUCUGAGUUUGAGUGGAGUAGGAUAAGAAAUGGCACUACAAGGAGGAAAAGACUAUUGAUGAAUUUGACUUGGUCCAUGUUUUUGAAAAUUGAAAGGAUAAUUUAG